Long non-coding RNA from Lemur catta (Ring-tailed lemur), 784 nucleotides. RefSeq lists it as uncharacterized. NCBI's taxonomy places the organism in Eukaryota, Metazoa, Chordata, Mammalia, Primates, Lemuridae. The transcript has 2 exons. The record is from RefSeq and is a predicted model, not a curated record.
UCGGCCUCCCAGAGGGCUAGGAUUACAGGCUCACUGAGCCACUGCGCCCGGCCUUGGUCUGAAGUCUUACAUGGACGACUGAGAUUCAGUAAGGGAUCAGGGGAAAGAAGUGGCUUGUCCAAGGUUACAGAUCCUAGAUCUUGACUUCUUCACUCAGUCCAUCCUAGAGAUCACUAGGGACUCUGGAGCUAGAAGCCCUACAGAGAUGUGUCCCAUCCAAGGUGUGCUACCUGGCCUUCGUCUCAAGCCACAGGCAAGAGUCUUGUCCCACUUCUCUGCUCCCAGACACCAUGCUUCCCCAGCUCUGUUUUCAGCAUGUCUGGUUGUUCAAUUGCCUCUGUUCACCCACAGAUUAAGGCAGGGUCCACUGUCUUAAUUGCCACUAUUGCCAGUACCAAGCACAGUGCCUCCCACUAGUGAGUGAUCCUGCUGUGGUAGACCAUUAAACUACUGCCCCCAGAUGAAGCCCCUUUCCCAGCAUUUAUGCCUAGAGCUAUGUACUUAAUGAUGAGGACUGAGUAAGAAAGAGGAACAGAGAGGGGGGUACAGAACAGACACAUUUAGUUACGAGAGAACAUUAAUACCAAAAUUUUAGAGCAAAGCAGUAUUUUUUAAGAGGCCAUGUGCAAAACAGUUCCUCAAGUCCAGAAGACCCAAGCUGCAGGCUCCUUCCAGAAAAAGCCAGCAUAGGAGAUCUUCCAAAUCUAUAAAUCAGCUCGCUGGCUGGACAAGGCCUAGGAAUCUGUUAUCAAUGAAUUUUAAAAUAAAGCUUUUUUGUAGGCUG